This 450-nucleotide ribosomal RNA is filed under the name uncultured Glomeromycotina. RNAcentral's name for it is "SSU rRNA". It matches the Rfam family "Eukaryotic small subunit ribosomal RNA", at positions 569 to 1024 of the family's 1831-position model. Lineage: Eukaryota; Fungi; Glomeromycota. The record is from RNAcentral.
AGCAGCCGCGGUAAUUCCAGCUCCAAUAGCGUAUAUUAAAGUUGUUGCAGUUAAAAAGCUCGUAGUUGAAUUUCGGGAUCAAUAUGUUUGGUCGUGCCUCGGUACGUACUAGCUUAUUGGUUUCUCCUUUCUGAAGAACCAUGAUGUCAUUCAUUUGGUGUCGUGGGGAAUCAGGACUGUUACUUUGAAAAAGUUAGAGUGUUUAAAGCAGGCUCACGCUUGAAUACAUUAGCAUGGAAUAAUGAAAUAGGACGUUUGAUUCUAUUUUGUUGGUUUCUAGGAUCGACGUAAUGAUUAAUAGGGAUAGUUGGGGGCAUUAGUAUUCAAUUGUCAGAGGUGAAAUUCUUGGAUUUAUUGAAGACUAACUACUGCGAAAGCAUUUGCCAAGGAUGUUUUCAUUAAUCAAGAACGAAAGUUAGGGGAUCGAAGACGAUCAGAUACCGUCGUAGU